AGUGAGCGCUGGCGGUAGGCCUAACACAUGCAAGUUGAACGGCAGCACAGUAAGAGCUUGCUCUUACGGGUGGCGAGUGGCGGACGGGUGAGGAAUACAUCGGAAUCUACUUUUUCGUGGGGGAUAACGUAGGGAAACUUACGCUAAUACCGCAUACGACCUACGGGUGAAAGCAGGGGAUCUUCGGACCUUGCGCGAUUGAAUGAGCCGAUGUCGGAUUAGCUAGUUGGCGGGGUAAAGGCCCACCAAGGCGACGAUCCGUAGCUGGUCUGAGAGGAUGAUCAGCCACACUGGAACUGAGACACGGUCCAGACUCCUACGGGAGGCAGCAGUGGGGAAUAUUGGACAAUGGGCGCAAGCCUGAUCCAGCCAUACCGCGUGGGUGAAGAAGGCCUUCGGGUUGUAAAGCCCUUUUGUUGGGAAAGAAAAGCAGCAGGUUAAUACCCCGCUGUUCUGACGGUACCCAAAGAAUAAGCACCGGCUAACUUCGUG
RNAcentral lists this ribosomal RNA (492 nucleotides) under uncultured bacterium. Its description in RNAcentral is "partial 16S ribosomal RNA". It matches the Rfam family "Bacterial small subunit ribosomal RNA", at positions 29 to 507 of the family's 1533-position model. The record is from RNAcentral.